Long non-coding RNA from Oncorhynchus tshawytscha (Chinook salmon), 941 nucleotides. The record is from Ensembl. Lineage: Eukaryota; Metazoa; Chordata; Actinopteri; Salmoniformes; Salmonidae.
UAAACAGUAUAGUGGUGGAUCUGUAGGGUCUGGAUAGGUAUAAACAGUAUAGUGGUGGAUCUGUAGGGUCUGGAUAGGUAUAAACAGUAUAGUGGUGGGGUCUGGAUAGGUAUAAACAGUAUAGUAGUGGGGUCUGGAUAGGUAUAAACAGUAUAGUGGUGGGGUCUGGAUAGGUAUAAACAGUAUAGUGGUGGAUCUGUAGGGUCUGGAUAGGUAUAAACAGUAUAGUAGUGGAUCUGUAGGGUCUGGAUAGGUAUAAACAGUAUAGUAGUGGAUCUGUAGGGUCUGGAUAGGUAUAAACAGUAUAGUGGUGUAUCUGUAGGGUCUGGAUAGGUAUAAACAGUAUAGUAGUGGAUCUGUAGGGUCUGGAUAGGUAUAAACAGUAUAGUAGUGGAUCUGUAGGGUCUGGAUAGGUAUAAACAGUAUAGUAGUGGGGUCUGGAUAGGUAUAAACAGUAUAGUGGUGGGGUCUGGAUAGGUAUAAACAGUAUAGUGGUGGAUCUGUAGGGUCUGGAUAGGUAUAAACAGUAUAGUAGUGGAUCUGUAGGGUCUGGAUAGGUAUAAACAGUAUAGUGGUGGGGUCUGGAUAGGUAUAAACAGUAUAGUGGUGGAUCUGUAGGGUCUGGAUAGGUAUAAACAGUAUAGUAGUGGAUCUGUAGGGUCUGGAUAGGUAUAAACAGUAUAGUAGUGUAUCUGUAGGGUCUGGAUAGGUAUAAACAGUAUAGUGGUGUAUCUGUAGGGUCUGGAUAGGUAUAAACAGUAUAGUAGUGGAUCUGUAGGGUCUGGAUAGGUAUAAACAGUAUAGUGGUGGAUCUGUAGGGUCUGGAUAGGUAUAAACAGUAUAGUGGUGUAUCUGUAGGGUCUGGAUAGGUAUAAACAGUACAGUAGUGGGGUCUGGAUAGGUAUUAACAGUAUAGUAGUGGAUCUGUAGGGUCUGGAUAG